AUCCAUCUGACGAGUUCCUAAUAGGACGAAAUGCGCGUCCUGCAU
Non-coding RNA from Schistosoma curassoni, 45 nucleotides. The record is from Rfam. NCBI's taxonomy places the organism in Eukaryota, Metazoa, Platyhelminthes, Trematoda, Strigeidida, Schistosomatidae.